Long non-coding RNA from Gallus gallus (chicken), 8258 nucleotides. RefSeq lists it as uncharacterized. Lineage: Eukaryota; Metazoa; Chordata; Aves; Galliformes; Phasianidae. The transcript has 3 exons. The record is from RefSeq and is a predicted model, not a curated record.
ACCACAACCUCCUUUCAAGUCGCUGUGAACAGCGAUGAGGUCUCCCCUUAUUUUUGUAUUGCUUAUUUUUUUAUUCCUUUUAAUUCUUCCACAGCUUAUUGAAGCAGCCACCCCAGGGAGAGCAUGAUUAGUGAAGAGUAUGUGGGAUGGAACUUCGGAGCACACUGAAGACCAAACUGGAGAACAGCUGGAGAGAUGCACAAGGCCCUUUUUCACUUCCGUUUCAUUUUUGGAAGUGACAGUCUCCCCAGAGAGAAGCCAGUGGACUUCUUCGAAAAGCUUGAGCUGCAUGUUUCGAUUUGUACAUCUCUGGCCAGAGUGAGAGGAGGUGAGCCCUUGUAUCACUUUAUAGCUCCUUUGUUAAUGUUUGCACCAUAUGAGAAAGUUCCAUACCAAAGUAAGGAAAAACUUCUUUCCUUUGAGGGUGACAGUACAGGAAAGUGUUACCCAGGGAGGUUGUAGAGUCUCCUCCUCUGAAGAUAUUCAGAACCCACCUGGAUGCUUCCCUGUACAACCUACUGUGGGGAACCUGCUUUAGUUGGACUGGAUGAUCUCCAUAGGUCCCUUCCAACCUCUAUGGUUAUGUGAUUCUGUGAUUAGUUCCAGCUCAUGUUCUAUAGCACUCCUACAGCUUCCUUCUCAGCUGCAGAUCUCCUCCCAGCCCCUAGAAGCAGAUCAAAAUGCUCACACCUGUCAAUAGCACAACUGCAGGUGUAGGAGGGGAACAGUCAUUGUCUGCCAAAGUUAUAGCUGUCCACGUCACUCAAUACAACUUCUUUGAGAAGGGGCUGCCUUCAAAAUCAGAUUGAGUCAAUAAGUCUCCAAAAAGAGAGAGCUGCUCAUGCUGUUACUGUGAAGUAUUCAUCAAGCAGGACCUCAGUUGUUUUAGGACCCAACUCUCUCCCAAGUUGCACUGCAGGCCUGUCAUGGCAUGGGAGAUACAACUCUGAAUGGAAAUCUGAGCAGAAACACUUUAUUCUGUGGCAAGUUUUAGACUUGGAAAGUAAUGACAGAGUUGAUGUCCAAACCUGCGUCAGCUACCUGUAGCUGCUGUUGAAUUCAGUGAGAAGGGGAACUGCCUUCCUCUUCAAAUUGCACCAUGAUCACAGAAACCUAGAACCAUUGAAUCACUAAGGCUGGAAUAGACCUCCAAGAUCAUCUACUCCAAACAUCUACCCACCACCAAUAUUUCCCCAAGAUAAAAUGUCCCUAAGUAUAUCAUAUAAACGUUUCUUGAACACGGGGAUGCUUGGAAUACAGACUCCUUGAAUGACCUGAGAAGACACUGACCAGCCUCUUGGAGAAUGUCCAUUUGCUCUGUGAGCUAUGACCUGUACAAAAAUUGAAAUAAAUGGCUUACUCAAGCCAAUUUGUGCUACAGAAGUACCGCAUUCUUCGUGCUUGCAGUCAGACUGCAGAACAUAGCCAGUUCUUUCAUGAUGUGUGAAUCGACCAGGGUCCCCCUCAUCUUCUCUUGAAUCUUGGUGAAAUUAUGUUAAAAUUGAGUUCAGAUUCUCUCCGCACAUCUUCCAUGCCAUUGUUUUCCACUGGUGUCCCAUCCCUUCUUCCACAAAAGCUUGUUUUGCUGCAAAAUGACCACUGUAUUACCACAUUUGCCACAUACCUGAGCACUCCCUGGUGUGCUGCAAGUGUCCUGUGCCAUGUAACCCAAUGUGCACAGGCUUGACACAUAAUCUUGAGGGCCAUGUACUGCUACUCUUGGCUUUAGCAGCUACGUCUCGUGGGGUAUGUUGAAAAGAGUGUGGCCAAGCACAUCAGGGGAGGUUCUCCUCACUCUCUACUCUGGCCUGGUGUGUCCACAUCUGGAGCACUGAAGUCCUACUAGCUAAUAGAAUUCAGGCUACAGUGUGGGAAAAAGAAGAAGUUAUGGAUAGCAGCUUGGAAUUGGAAAAGGGUGAUGACACUAAGAAAGCUUAACUGAGAACCUGAAUCACAACCAUUGCCACUAAAAAAAAUGUGAAGGGUCUUAGUAAUUGGAGACUCUUUUCUGAGGGGCACCUAGGCAUCCAUCUGCCAGCCAGAUAACCUCUCUAUAGAGGUUUGCUGCCUGCCAAGAGCCUGCAUUAGGGACAUCAAGAAGAUAAUAUCCAGUACGAUAAUGCCAGAUGACUGUUAUCCUCUCCUGCCUUUUCAAGUCAGGUCUCACAAGGCUGUGACCAGGAAAUGAAAAGAUAUCAAAAAAGACUUUGCCUUGGGAAGGUGUUGAAGGGGGCAGAAGCACAGGUAUUGUUCUCUUCCGUCCUCAUGGUGGGAGACUGGAAUCUGGGCAGAGGAGAAGAACUGACCAGUCGAAUGUCUGGUUGCAUGAGUGGUGUCAUGCCCAAGGCUGUGGCUUCUAUGAUCUAGGUAGUUCCUUUAACAAACCGGGAGUGGUGACAUAGGAUGGGAUGCAACUGACCAGGAGAUGCAAGAAUAUACUAGGGAGCAAGCUAGCUGGGCUCAUUAUGAGGGCUUUAAACUAGAGGUGCUGGGAGAAGGGGAUGAACUGCUGAGUUACAGGGAAGAGCCAGAGAACCCUGUCAAUCUAGGAAGCAGUGGGGGAAAACCUCAUAUUUGUCUGAGAGGUUUGUGGGAAGGCUCCUUUAGAAAGGCAGUGCAUCUGAAAGCCCAGCUGAAGUGCCUGUAUACCAAUGCAUGCAGCAUGGGAAAUAAGCAAGGGGAGUUGGAAACCAUGGUGCACUGAGAAAACUUUGGUCUUAUUGCCAUCAUGGAAACAUGGUGGGAUGAUUCAUGUAACUGGAACACCACCAUUGAGGGCUAUAAACUUUUAGAAGGGAUAGGCAAGGUAGGAGGGGCGGGGAAGUUGCCCUCUAUUUUUAAGAGUGGAUAGACUGCGAUUAGCUCUUGGUCUUGGUGAAAAUUAUCUGAAGAUCAUGAACUCCAGUGGAGCCUCCUCUUUUUCUGUUUGGUUGGUUGGUUCUUGAGGGGUUUUGUUUGUUUGUUUUUGUUUGUUUCUUUGUUUUUAGCAUGGAUCUGCAGGAAUCUUAUUUUUCAAGUAUGGAGAAAAAAGACAAAUAUAGCACCAGUAGCUCAGGAAGUCACCAACUGCAACUUUAUUUCAAAAGAAUGCUCUGAGGUAUCAAUUAUUGGAGAUUCUACAUUUUUUAUUACCAUAUGAAAGAUUCUUUCACCCAUAAAAUAAUUCUUUGUGCCUAGUAAGCAAAGAAUUUGUUGACUUCACAGAAAACUUUGUUAACUUUACAAUAAUACAGUCCAAAGAAGACAAUGUGGCAUAAUAUAUAACUAUAAUCUGCUUUAUACAUCCUAUUGUAAAAUGUCUUUGUACAGCCUGGAUGUUGGGUAAAUACUUUUUGUAGUGAUAGAUCAAAUGCUGGACUGGGUUAUCUCAAAGACGUUCUGAAAAGAACAACUGCAUUUCAUAAACAGUAAUUAUAAAUACAACCCUUCUCUCUAACAAUAUUUAGGUGACAAAUGUAAGAUAUAAGUUCUCAAAAAUUGCUGAAUAUAAGUGUUAAUCCAUAUAAACUGCCUUCACAACCAUCAAGGUGUACACAAUUAUUAAGUUUUGUGUUAGAAUGUGUGUAAUUUACAACGCAAGUCUGGAAUAAAUAUGUAACUUCUCAAGAUAAUCAAAUACAUGACCUUUUUAUAUACAAGCAGUAGGCUAGCAUCUAAAAAGAAAAGUAGAAAGCUAUACAUUUUAUACAGUUUUUCAAAUAUACUGUCACUUAUUGGAUUUUAUUUAAAUUUUGAAUCCAAAGUACAUUUGCACAAAUAUUUUCAAAGGUGAGAGUCCAUGUGAAAGGCAACAGUGAAGACCAAGUCAUAAUAUCCUUCCACAAAAAAAAAGCUAUGAUGGCAGUUACUUGGAGAGGACGUUAACCUUGUGAUUUUCUAGGAGCUAUUAACAUUUAUCAACUUUGGUACUUAGCUGGCUUAGUCUAGUGCUAGUCUCUCUGUACUCUCUUGACUGCCAAUAGCAAAAAUGAAUUUUCUCCUGCAGGAAGUUCUGACCAUAAGCUUUCCUGAAUCACCUUUUGGGAUGGCAUUGCUUUCUCUGUUGACUGUGGGGGGAGCAGCCAGCUAGCUUUAUCUGGGUGACACCAACCAAUAUCACUGUGCCUCUUGUUGAAAUUGUUCCUCUUCAGCUCUUGGUUAAUACAGCUUUAAUUCAUCCUGUAUUUCUACUGUAACAUUAUGCUGUCAUAAGUCCAGCUGUUAUUUUUCUGUAAUGGGUGAGAUCUUCCCAACCACUCAGUAGAAUCCACCCCACUUUCAAUGCAAAUGUAAGUAUUAAUACAUAUUUAUGUAGUGCACUGAAUAUGCUAACAUAGCUAGACACUGGUGAAAGUUACUCUCAUAAUUCUAUGAUUUUUGAGAAGUCCAUCACUCACCUACAAAGUAAUUGUAACUCAUUGCCAAAAACUACUAUUUACAUAGGGUUUCCAGUAGUAUGUUGUUAACUCUUGGUCGUGUGGCAGAGACAAGACAUAAACAGUUUCUGUUCCCUAACCAGGCCCGUUCAUGCACAUAAACAAGUUGCAAGAAAGAGACAUUAGUGAUAUAAAAGAAAAAAAAGUUCUCAAAGGUCUGUCAAAUAAAAUAAUUCUGCUUGAAAACAUCCAUUUUAUGUUUCUAUGACAAUAUCAUAAAUAAUGGAAAGGUCAAAGGAAGCACUUGAUAUUCAGGAGGAAAAAUCAUUAGAAGUGCAUAGGUGAAAAACUGGUCCCACAGUACAUAAAUGCAAUACUCCAGUUCAGUAGGAUGAAUAUUGAUUCAUGUAUUUAUGUAGGUGUGAUCUCUUUAACAGGGUUCUGUAUUUCAGCACAUUUGAAAAAUGGAAACACGCAUCAUUCUUGUACAGAAUUCUUUUUUUUUUUUUCUCUAUUUUUCUACUUCUAGGAUGUAAAUGAACUACUAAUGAUAUUAAAAUAUUUUUAAAUAUUUCUAGUUAUUCAUGAAAAGUAAUUUAUACCUCUAUGAACGUAUAGCAAAUGCUGAACUUAACUUACAUUAACAACCACCACUGAACUUAAGAAUCACUGUCUUUUUGUUGAAAGCCUCAUAUAUUUCUAUUUGCCAGAGUGAGGCCCUUCUAAUAGAUAUAAAUUAAUGGUCAGUUGGACAUCAGAAAAGGAGGUUUCCCUUUGGACUUACAGGUGAAAUUAAAAAGCAGGUACCGCAUAUCACUUAUUGUCAUUUUCAUCAGAUAAUUUACAAAAUGCUGGUUAGCAAAAUCAACCAGUCCCCUUAAUGUUAUAAAAUACAUCUUCAGGACAAAGGACAUAAGGAGAGACAUAAAAGGUUGGAAGCAUAAAAGCAUAUUCUCAUAAGUACUAGGCAAUCCCUAUUGUUGGAUGACCAGAUCGAAUCAUCAUUUAGGUAGGUGCUAUCAAAGUUCACAAUCUUCAAGUCCUUUUUAAGAUACAUUUCAUUCAGAUUGCUUAGUGUUCGAGCAAAGGUAUAUUUAGAUGCGCAACUGUAUGCCUCCAUACUGUAGACUUUGUGGAAGUGCAUAUCAAAAUAUGGAUUAUCCUAAAAAAAAUCGAGAACAAAAUUAUUACAUACAUUGCAGACAUCAGAAUGGCAAUUUCUUGUUUUCUGUUUACCUACCUGUAGGCUUUUUUUUUUUUUUUUUCUCAGUUUUAUGGAUUCAAAAAAGUAUUAGCUAUGGACUUUGUGCAUUUCAGCUAUUCCUAUUAAAGUCUUGUAAAAUUUUACAAAUUAACAGUUUAUAAUUAGCUGCCCUUCUUUGCCAUUAGGAGUUUUGCCUGAGUAAAACUUUCAGACUUUGUCCAAGGAGGACACUGCACUUUAUUGUGAUUAUACAAUGCUGUUUUGAAGUGAACCAAUUUGUCAUGUUGCCUAAAACACACUUGCCUUGGACUAUAACUAUAUGUGCCUGUCAGAAGAAGAAUAUUGAUUACUCUUCCUGCCCAAAUUGUAAUUUUGUGUGCUUUCAAGCUCCUUGGCACAAUUAAUACCAGCAACAGCUAAGUUCUAUUAAAUUCUAUGGAUAUGAAUAGCAAUAUGAUGAAUAUUUAUAUCAGUGCUAAUCACCAUGUAAUGAGGAGUUUGUGGCUUAUGUAUGCUUUUCUGUAAUCAAAAAUAAGAUUUUGAGCAUCUGAGUUGUAGAAGGCUGAAUAAUCUCUGAAGGGUAUUUUAGUUUAAAAAAGAAAAAAGAAAGAAAGAAAGAAAAAAAGCUUAAAAAAGAAGUUGAAAGUUAAUGAGUUCAUGUAGGCAAACAAUAAGGUAAUCUUCUGGCUGCCUCAUCUGGUAAAGGGAUAGGAACAUCUCCAACUGCAAGAUAACUUGGAGAGGACAUAAAAUAUUAUUAGCUUUUGCUAUUUCCCUCUCUGGCUUAAACUGCAAAGAGUUUGUGUGAUUCGUGGGUACUCUGAAUCUGGUCUCACCUCCACAGUCUCCUAGGUUCCUAGUUUUAGAGUUGAGAGCAACGCACGAGGGACUGCAGACAGCUGCAGAGAUCAUGGCUAAUUGCCCAUGCAGGAGCUGUGGAAGACUUUUUUGAAAAGGGAACAGUUGUCAGAAUGGAAUGAGUACAACUGGAGUCUGUCAUUUUCCUUGAAUCAAGACUCUGAAACCCCUUUUGUGGGCUCUUGAUUUCUAUGUCACCUGGACAAUAUAAUCUGAAUUCUAUUUUAUGUUCAUUUGAAACAUGAAAGGUAAAAAAGUAGUUUUCUCCUGAACUACAUUUUAUAUGCAUGGAUGCCUGUUAUAACACUUCACCUACAGUAAGACAUUAUCUUCAAAGCACUCUUAUGGCUUCCGUAAAAUAGAAUUUAAUUCUACUUUUGGUGUUCUGUAUAAAAUUGUAUAUUGUAUCACAACCUCAUUUACCCUUCUGUAAUUGAAUCUGAGAGAUUAUGACUUUUUUAGCAGUAACAUCAGUCAUACCUAGCCAAAGCUGUUUUAUUCAGUUAUUCAACUGAUGCAAGUAAUGUGAAUGAAAUUUAAAUUAUGUGAAAGAUGAUGUUUUACAUAUUGAUAUAAAUUCUCUUUGUUGUACAAAGAACAGGUUCCUAAAUUCAAAUGGAAGGAGUAGAUUCUCCAAAAACAUAGUUUCUAAUACACUGAUCUUAAUUCAAAUUUACACCAGGAAUUGCGUGUUGUGAAUUUUUAUUCCCAGUUACAAUGAACAAAUGAGAAAACAUCCAGAUUGUCCCUCAGAUCUCAACUGGAGAAAUGAAAAUUAAAAUAAACGAGAACAUCUCUCCUUCUCCCCACACCCCAAACAAUAUAAAUGCAACCUAGACCCUCUCACAUGCAAUAAACUCAAAAAUCCAUGGAGAUUUUUUGUUUUGUUUUGCUUUGCUUAAAAAAAAAUAAAUCAGAUAAUGUCCUUCAAUUGCAUUUCAAUACUUGUAUUCCAAGAUGCAACACAAUAGAAGUAUAUUCUGAGUAUUUAAUAAUACAUAACACUUACAGUAUCUGCUUCUUUUCCAUCAAUCAUCUCCAGAUCUUUUAAAAACCACUUUUCAACUACUUCAUAUUUCUCUUCUCGAUCUCGAAAGUGUUUUACCAUACAUAUUUCUACUUCUUCACUUUUAGUCACUGCAAGACAAAAAUAGUUACGAUAUGCAAGCAAAUACUUUCUAAAAGUUCUAAUAAUAAAAUACUUAAACUUCAUUUAAAAUAAUAAUUUAAAUGAUGAUGUUAGUAGAAAUAGGCCAGUGUUCCCAGCCUAUGAAACCAAUCUGUCUUAAACAGAUUAAAUAUUUAACUUCCCUAUCCUGUGAAAAGGCAAUCUUAUCAGUGCAAAAGCCUCUGGUUUGAACUCACCAACAGUGCAGUGAAGGCCCAACUCCAGCAUUGGAACUGUGUGGAUAAUCCACAUAUCCUGCUUACUUUGACAGUGAAUCCUUUGGAGUACUGAAGUCAGAGAAUUGCCAAAUCACUACCAAGGCUCUUAUGAGUAUGACUACUUUCUGUUCUGAGGAUGAAAUUCUCUUACGGAGCCACUACUUUUUAAACAAAACUCUUACCUUCCUAUCAAAUGUGUAAUUAUGUCACUUAACAGAAGUGACACUGAAAAUACUUCUUAAAGCUCCACAUUAAUAAGUGCUAUCUUUGUAGAAAUUACUAUUUUCUGACUUAGACAGGAGAUGAGAAUAAAAAGAGAAUGAAGACAUUCCUUGUAAUAACUACCAUUGUUAAUUGAUUACAUUGAGUGCUGUGUAGAAGAUCAGACUUCUUUAACAUGAAACAGUUAGUGUGAAAAGCACUGGAGCCUGAAACACCUUCUGCACAUCCAACAU